This 71-nucleotide transfer RNA is filed under the name bacterium. Its description in RNAcentral is "tRNA-Ala". It matches the Rfam family "tRNA". Rfam says of the family: Transfer RNA (tRNA) molecules are approximately 80 nucleotides in length. The record is from RNAcentral.
GGGCCCAUGGCUUAAUGGUAGAGCGUUCCUUUCGCAUGGGAAAGGCGAGGGUUCGAUUCCCUCUGGGUCCA